Molecule: long non-coding RNA, 3598 nt
Organism: Callithrix jacchus (white-tufted-ear marmoset)
Lineage: Eukaryota; Metazoa; Chordata; Mammalia; Primates; Cebidae
Source: Ensembl
UGCCUGACUAAUUUUUCUUUUUCUCUUUUCUAGAGAUUGGGUUUGCUGCAUUGUCCAGACUGGUGUCAAACACCUGGGUUCAGUUAUCCUGCUGCGGUCUCUCAAAGUGCUGGGAUUACAGGCAUGAGCCUCCACACCCAAACACGUGGGGUGGUUUUAAGCCCCCAGUAAGGUGCACCAGCAGGACCAAGAGGUGGCCUGGGCCUCCCCAACACUCUUAUCCAUGCAGACCCAGGCAAGUUUCUCUCUCUGAAUCUCAGUCACCACCACAGACAAUGCAAGUAGGAAGCUGGGCAGGGCUGGACUGGGGGUGUAGCAGGUAGAGGCCACCUCUGUGAGGUCGGGUGGCAUGGGCUGGCUGGAGCCUGUCUUCCCACAUGUAGGUCAUGACCUCCAAAAACCAGCUGUCGGUCAUGGUGAUGGGCCGCUGGGAUUGGCAGAAAGCUUGCUUUCCUUCUCUGAGGCUGGAGCAGUAUGGGGCCAAAGACCAUGGUGAGGUUGUGCAGGAACUUUUAUUGACUGCCUUUUUCUUACUACCCUGUGCAGGACUGAAGCAGAGGGUGCUAUUUCUACGCCACCACCAGGAAAGAGGCAGAGGGGCUGGGCCAUGCUGGCGUCCUCUGGGAGGGAGCAACCUUGACCCUGGCUGUGCUGCAAGCUGAUUCCAGCCCUGCCCCUAAUGGCCGCAGUGCACAUGGAGGAGAUGCCUCUUAUGACGCCAUGGCCUCCAGUUCUCACCGAUGCCCUCAUCGAAGUUGGGUAGAACUUCAGUGAAGAGGGGCUCAUGCAGCUCAUGGAAGCAGAGCUUCAGUGUGUCUGUGAUGGCGUGUAUGUUCAUCUCACUCAUCAUCUUCGACACGUCCCUGUCAUCCAGAAAGAACAUGGAAGUGCUGCAGCCUCCUUGAGGAUCCCAAAGAUGGGGUUUGCUGCAUUGUCCAGACUGGUCUCAAACACCUGGGUUCAGUUAUCCUGCCACAGUCUCUCAAAGUGCUGGGACUACAGGUGUGAGCCUCCACACCCAAACACUUGGGGUGGUUUUAAGCCCCCAGUAAGGUGCACCAGCAGGACCAAGAGGUGGCCUGGGCCUCCCCGACACUCUCAUCCAUGCAGACCUAAUUUGUUUAUUAUUAUCUGAAAUUCAAAUUUAUUUAUACAUCGUGUGUUGAUCUGGCAACCCUAUACUAUCUGUAACCUUGUAAUAGGCCCUCUCAGAGCACACAGAUAGGAGAUAUGUGUAUUAACCCAUGUAUAUACACAUAUCUAUUAAAUUUUUAUAUAUGUGUGGUUAAAUAUGAGUUUAUACUUAUUUCUCUAACUCAAAUCCAGUAUCACAGGGUUCCUUCUAGCCUUCUCCCUUUGCUUAUCUAUAACUUCUCUCGCCAGCAGUGAAAAACCUGACCCCCACUAUUCGCUCUUCAUUUACUUAUUUGCCCCUUCUUACUCAUGGUGCAUGUAAAGCUAUUUCAGAAUUGGUCACAGCCUCCCCACCCCCAUCCCCGCCCCUAGCCCGAUGAGAAAAAAAAUUCUUCAGACAAAUUACUUGGACCUCACUUUACAUGUUAUAAAAUAUAUAGUUUUAAUUUAAAUGGGUAUUAGUGGAAAUUAAUAAAUUUGAUGUGAAUAUUUUGCAACCUAGAAAAUAAGCAUCUUAAAAAUAUACUAGUAACAACACAAAGUAAAAUAUUUAUAUAUAUUCUUAGCUUUUCCUAAAAAUCUUCUAUAUUUAUAAAAUUAUAACUGCAACUUCCUCAUGUAUAGCAGAUUACUGGCAAGGAGAAUGUAGUAAUAAUGACUCAUUGAUGUUUGCAAGGAAAAAAAAAUUGCAUCCUUAAUUCUUCCUCUUGCUCCUUCACUUGUCUUUAAAAACUAUAUUUAUUCAUUUAGUUAUAAUUUGUUAUUAGAUUUUUGUGAAAUUUAAUGACAAUGUCUAAUUAUUUAUAUUUAAUAAAAGUUAUUAUUUUGAACUGUAUAAAUUAUUUUUGAAUUUUUGUCAUGAUAUUUAUCUUCAUGACAAAACAAAUGAAGAUUACUAUUUCUAAGGAACUACACAUUUUUAUUCUGUUGGAACAAUUUGUCUCUGUUGCUUUCAUUUUAACUCUUUGUGGUAACAACAGAAAUUAUAAUAUAUAUAUCUAAACAUUUAAAAACUAAUUUUGCUACAAAGAUAAUUGCACAAUGUUUUCAAAAAGUAAUAAAAUCUAUUUAUUGGUAAUUUACUCCCAUCAUUCUUCAAAAACCAAGUGGUUUUGGAAGGAUAGUAAAGCCUUUCUAUUUAACUCAAAGACAAUGCCAGAGUACCAGACUCCUCUCUCUUUCUAAUAACCUAGCAUUUUCCCAAAUUAUUCUGUAAAUUAAGUUGGUUUUCAUUCAUGUUUAGAAAGAAAUAUAGGAGAUUUGUAUCGAGUUUAGGAAAGAUAUGAAUGUGCAUAUGAUUCAUUUUAUUAGGAAGAUACUGUGUAUAUAAACAUUUUUUGAAUGUUUUAAUUGUAUAAUAAAGAAAUCAUCUAUACUAACGCAACUUACUAUAUACGUUAAUAGAACUUUACUUUUCAGCUUUCUUCACUAAUACACUUCCACUGUCUUCAUCAGUAUCAUUUUUCUGUUCUAGGAAAUUUAUGCUCAGGAAGAUAGAAAUUGUAAACAAGGUUAUUGUUUGGUUUAAAGACUUUCUCAACAAUCCACUUAAUAUAUAAAGAUUGCCCAAAUUUUAGGCAGAUAACAUCAAACAAUUGUUUACCCUCCAGGCCUUUGAAAUUUUCAAUUGCUGUAUUCUUUAAUUCUGAAAUAGUAUGUUCCUUACUCAAUCCAGUCAAAUUCUUACAUUGAAAGAUCUGUCUUAAAGCAGACUGCAAAUCCUCAUAAAUAUUCCCCCCCACACUGAUAUUGAAGCUUUGACAAGGUAGUACCAUUCUUUACUGAAACAUUCAGUAAACUGAGCUUUGAUUUAGGUACAUGUUAUGUUGGUGGUAUUUGUAAGACAGCAUUUGACAAAAGCUUGCUCAAUUGUGUUUUCUAUUACCAUGUGUAUAAAAUAUAUUUGCAGACAAACAAAGCUGCCUUAGCUUGUGUAAUUCUGAAAGAGAAGUUAUUAACAGGAUUUUAGUAUGAUGUUACUCCUUGUGGUACUCAUAUCCAGUCAAAAUCUGGAAGUUAUUAACAUAUUUUUUGUACAUUAGUUUGAUUUAUUUGUUGAACCUCAAAUCAAGGACUAUAGACAGAUAAUAUUUUAUCAUAUGAUUUUUGUAUUAUCCUCAUGAAGUCUGAGGUCUAGGGAAUACACCUUUUUUCCAAAAUCAUGAAACAAAUAAAAAAGCAAGGACUCAAUUCCAGGUGUUUAGACAACUGCAUCAGUUGUAGUUUCCCUCUAACAGGUGGUGGGCACUAUUUUCCAUCUGUGGAAUUAGUCACCCACAAAAUUACUUUUCUUCAUUUAAAAUAUUUAAUCAUCAGAAUAGAGACUUGUGUUACACAGAUAAAAUUUAAGUGUCCUCACUUAUAUAUUAAAAUGUCUAAUCCAAAGAUAUCAUGUCACCUCUGAUGUUGCUUGUAAUCAGAAAUCUGAUACUUUUGUUGACUUUACUGCUCCAUUAAAUAUUUA